GUUUAGAGCUGCACCACCUUGAGAAUGCCUGAUCUUGUCUGAUCUCAGACGCUAAACAGAGUUGAGUUUGGUUAGUACUUGGAUGAGAGGGCGCUGGGAAUACCAGGUGCUGUAGUGG
This 118-nucleotide ribosomal RNA is filed under the name Periophthalmus magnuspinnatus. Lineage: Eukaryota; Metazoa; Chordata; Actinopteri; Gobiiformes; Gobiidae. The record is from RNAcentral.